GGUCAGUAUGAACUACAGUAGAGACAGCAGGUCAGUAUGAACUACAGUAGAGACAGCAGGUCAGUGUGAACUACAGUAGAGACAGCAGGUCAGUGUGAACUACAGUAGAGACAGCAGGUCAGUAUGAACUACAGUAGAGACAGCAGGUCAGUGUGAACUACAGUAGAGACAGCAGGUCAGUAUGAACUACAGUAGAGACAGCAGGUCAGUGUGAACUACAGUAGAGACAGCAGGUCAGUGUGAACUACAGUAGAGACAGCAGGUCAGUAUGAACUACAGUAGAGACAGCAGGUCAGUGUGAACUACAG
This is a long non-coding RNA of Oncorhynchus keta (chum salmon), 308 nucleotides long. RefSeq lists it as uncharacterized. Lineage: Eukaryota; Metazoa; Chordata; Actinopteri; Salmoniformes; Salmonidae. The transcript has 3 exons. The record is from RefSeq and is a predicted model, not a curated record.